CUACGGAAAGUUCGGCAGCGACUCGAAGUCCUGGAAAAUCUGAAAUCUUCCGCAACCUUCGAGCUGCAACAAAGUACACUUGGAAUGGAAUCAGAGUUUUUCACCUGAAUCCGGGCUUCAACCUAUCUUUGGACACUGUCAAAACGUUCCGGGCAACUUUAGCCUUGACAAAUGCAAGCCAAAAUGAAGCAGACCGAGAAGCAGACGGUAUCGGGAGAGUCGGACCCUGUGGAGUUUCGGUUCGUCCGAAUACCAGAAGAGAGUCUGAAGUUGACCGAAUACCAGAAAAACGUGGAAGCGCUUGAGGUUGCUGCUGAAGUCGAGUCCAAAGUGGAAUCUUUUUCACUUGGUGCAUUCUCAGAUUUGUGUAAAUAAAUACAGUCGUUAAAUCACCCAUUAAAU
Long non-coding RNA from Culex quinquefasciatus (southern house mosquito), 402 nucleotides. RefSeq lists it as uncharacterized. The record is from RefSeq and is a predicted model, not a curated record. The transcript has 2 exons. Lineage: Eukaryota; Metazoa; Arthropoda; Insecta; Diptera; Culicidae.